UACGGAGGGUGCGAGCGUUAAUCGGAAUUACUGGGCGUAAAGCGCGCGUAGGCGGUUCGUUAAGUCAGCCGUGAAAGCCCCGGGCUUAACCUGGGAACUGCGGAUGAUACUGGCGGACUAGAGUGUGGCAGAGGGUGGCGGAAUUUCCGGUGUAGCAGUGAAAUGCGUAGAGAUCGGAAGGAACACCAGUGGCGAAGGCGGCCAUCUGGGUCAACACUGACGCUGAGGUGCGAAAGCGUGGGGAGCAAACAGG
This 253-nucleotide ribosomal RNA is filed under the name uncultured bacterium. RNAcentral describes it as "partial 16S ribosomal RNA". It matches the Rfam family "Bacterial small subunit ribosomal RNA", at positions 524 to 776 of the family's 1533-position model. The record is from RNAcentral.